This 299-nucleotide ribosomal RNA is filed under the name uncultured bacterium. RNAcentral's name for it is "partial 16S ribosomal RNA". It matches the Rfam family "Bacterial small subunit ribosomal RNA", at positions 40 to 339 of the family's 1533-position model. The record is from RNAcentral.
CGGCGUGCCUAACACAUGCAAGUCGAACGGAGAUAAAGAUUUCGGUUUUUAUCUUAGUGGCGCACGGGUGAGUAACACGUGAAUAACCUGACCCAAAGAGGGGGAUAACACCUGGAAACAGGUGCUAAUACCGCAUAAGACCACAAUGUCGCAUGACGAAGGGGUCAAAGAAAAUCGCUUUGGGAGGGGUUCGCGUCCCAUUAGGUAGUAGGCGGGGUAACAGCCCACCUAGCCGACGAUGGAUAGGGGUUCUGAGAGGAAGGUCCCCCACAUUGGAACUGAGACACGGUCCAAACUCC